Molecule: transfer RNA, 76 nt
Filed under: Escherichia coli
Lineage: Bacteria; Pseudomonadati; Pseudomonadota; Gammaproteobacteria; Enterobacterales; Enterobacteriaceae
Also listed under: 2 other names
Description: tRNA-Ile
Rfam family: tRNA
About the family: Transfer RNA (tRNA) molecules are approximately 80 nucleotides in length. Their secondary structure includes four short double-helical elements and three loops (D, anti-codon, and T loops).
Source: RNAcentral
GGCCCUUUAGCUCAGUGGUUAGAGCUGGCGACUCAUAAUCACACGGUCACCGGUUCAAGUCCGGUAGGGGCCACCA